GUCUACCGCCAUACCACGUUGAAAGCACCAGUUCUCGUCCGAUCACUGAAGUUAAGCAACGUCGGGCUCGGUUAGUACUUGGAUGGGUGACCGCCUGGGAACACCGAGUGCUGUAGACU
Molecule: ribosomal RNA, 119 nt
Filed under: Lottia gigantea (owl limpet)
Lineage: Eukaryota; Metazoa; Mollusca; Gastropoda; Lottiidae
Source: RNAcentral